UAGCUUUCAACUCCAAACUGGUCUUGAGAUCUCACCUCAGUCUCUAACCUUGACAUCUAACCUCUUCACCCACUCUCUUACCUGACCCUAAUUUUUAAAAAUGACGUGGUCAGCUUUUCAGCCCCCUCAUUCCCUGUUUUUAGGAGGUAGUGAGUGGAAGCUGGAAGAAUAAGAAAGCUUGGGGAGACUGCAAUUGCAGUCAGGAAAGAAAGGUACUCUGCCGGGAAGAACACCCCAUCUUCUCCUAGGGAAAGAUUGUGGAGUCCUGGGGUUUGUUUUGUUUUUCAAUUUUUUGUUUUAAGAGACAGCGUCUCGCUCUGUCACCCAGGCUGGAGUGCAGUGGCGCAAUCACAGCUCACUGCAACUUCGACCUCCCCGGCUCAAGUGAUCCCCCCGCCUCAGCCUCGUGAGUAGCUGGGACCACAGGCGUGCACCACCACGCCCGGCUAACAUUUUAUUUUUUGUGGAUAUAAGGUUGCCCUAUUUCUUUGUGGAGAUAAAGGCUCCCCUAUGUUGCCCAGGCUGGUCUCGAACUCCUGGCUUCAAGCGAUGCUUUCGCCUCGGCCUCCACAAAGUGCUGGGUUCACAGGUGCGUGAGCCCGACCUGUGUCUCGUUUUGAAGCUCAGGGAGAGGGCGCUGUGAGCAAUCCCUAAACCCUUUAAGAGUAAAAAGUGCGUGCACCUUUAAGAGGACGGUUAGAAAACGCGGGGCGUGGCCACAGGAGAAUAAGUUCGCGCUGAACCAGGAGCGUGGGAUAAGACCGGCCCCUUCCGGUUACGAAACCUUAGCAAGAUGGCGGCUCCCUGGGCGGUAAGUGACCGGAGUUCCUAGAGCCCCAAAUUUGAAGUCCGCUCUACAGCCUCCGCAUUCAGGGCCUCUGUUGGCGGCCACGAGAGCAGAAAGCCGUGAGGCAGCAGGCUAAGCCUGGCAAGCCCCGUACUGGGAGUGCAAACCUGUGGCUAGUGGGGGCCAGGAAGGAUCUGUGAGGGUCGCAGGCGGAGGAGACGCUUUAGCGAGCGAGAGGAGGCAGGGACUUGGCUGAGAGUAUCCAAUGGGGAUGAGGGAGUGGCUGCCGAAGAGCGACGCGACUAACCAAUCAGAGGGAGGGAUGACACAAGGAGCUAAUGGACAGGCAAGGGUGGGGCCUGUAGGAUAAGAGAGCUUGGAAGGGAUUGUUCGAGGAUGUGGGAUUUGGUCUUAGAAGACCGAAGGAUGAAUGUAAGGAAAGUUAGUGGGAGAUUGACGAAUUUUUACAGAAAACUCAAAAGCAUGAUGGGUGGGGGAACCAAGAGGUCAAUUUGGAGGUUCUAAGGGCAUGAUCUGGGUGAAAUUAAGAGGAGAAUUUGAGAUAUUCUUUCAGAGGAUUUAAAAUCAAGGAAUGAAUUUAGGGAAAAUUAAAGAGGUUGGCAGCUUUAAACUUUUGAGGAAAAUAAGGGUUUGGGUAAAAUUAUCGAGAUAAUUUGAAAAAAAAAAAGAAUUUGGUUAAAGCAAAGAGAAAUUGGGGUAGAUUAAGAGGAGACCUUGAAAGCAAAAUUGAAGAGUUUGGGGGCUUCUUCCCAUUGGCCACACCCCUCGACUUUCUUACUCUCCUCUUCAAAGCUCAUGCUUUUUAUACCCUUCUCGGUUCAGGGGUGUCCAAUCUUUUGGCUUCCCUGGGCCACGCUGUUCGAAGAAGAAGAAUUGUCUUGGGCCACACAUAAAAUACACUAACCAUAACUGAUGAGCC
This 1727-nucleotide long non-coding RNA is filed under the name Homo sapiens (human). RNAcentral describes it as "non-protein coding lnc-B3GNT8-1:1". Lineage: Eukaryota; Metazoa; Chordata; Mammalia; Primates; Hominidae. The record is from RNAcentral.